CCCGCGAGGAACCCUGCGUGAGACGGAGUCGCCCGCGACGAGACUCAGACUGGGCGGGCGCCCCCCAUCCCUCUCUGGCCGCCGCGCUGCCUCACUCAAGGGAGGGGAAGAGGGGGCGGUGGCUUUUGCCUCCGCCUCGCGGUCAAGUCCGGCUCAUGCUCCAGCCUUGCGCGCGCGCACGCAGCCCGGGCCGCCCUCUUCCCCUCCCCCGCCGCCGGCUCAGCCGCUGGCGUGCCGGCCGCUGCCACCUCUGUCCUCGAGCCGCCGCCACCAACCCCAGACAGCCCGCAGCCCCAGCGGGAAGCAGCAGGAACGGCAGCAGCUCGCCCGUCGACCCGGAAGCUCUUCCGCCGCCAACUGCGACGCUGCAAGGGGUGUAAACCCGGAAGUGAUUUCCUCGCCCCGGUAGCGGCGGGAUGGAAAGGAAAAGCGUUUGAAGACCUGGAAACCCUUAACUUCGGGGGAGGGUGAUAUCGUGCCGAGGUGCGAGAAGAGGGAAGGACAAUAAAGAAUUAGUCCACAAGAGUUGCUCCGAGUCCAGAGACCCGAGCUUUUAAGGCGCGUUUUGGGAAGAGCGGCCGAACACGCCCGGAGACUUCUGGUGGCCACCAAGGGUUUUCCUGUCACAGGAAGUUAGGCCCGGCUGCUGGGAAACAGAAGGGAAGGAGGAAUGAGAAAGCGGUGACGGCACCCCGCCCCGCAGGUGACUGUCCCACCCAGUGAGUUGAAUGUAGCGGCCCGGGAGGUGCUCGGCCGCCCUCGCGGGUGAGACGAGGAGGAGCGAGGACCAGACUCCAGCGAGAGAAAACAGAGGUGGGAGGCUGAACUAUCUCCACAUCUAGUUUCUCCAGGUCCAAAAGGCAGAUUCUUAUGCAGUUUAGACAUACAAAAAGGAUUUCUGUUUGUUUUUUAAAGCAAUGGGAAAUCCAGAAAACAUAGAAGAUGCAUAUGUUGCUGUUAUUCGUCCAAAGAAUACUGCCAGUCUCAAUUCUCGGGAAUACAGAGCUAAGUCAUAUGAAAUUUUAUUGCAUGAAGUUCCCAUUGAAGGACAGAAAAAAAAGAGAAAGAAAGUUUUGUUGGAAACUAAACUUCAGGGCAACAGUGAAAUAACACAAGGCAUACUGGAUUAUGUAGUAGAAACCACCAAACCAAUUUCUCCUGCAAACCAGGGUAUUAGAGGAAAGCGAGUGGUACUAAUGAAGACAUUUCCUCUGGAUGGGGAGAAGACGGGGAGAGAAGCAGCAUUAUUUAUUGUUCCAUCAGUUGUCAAAGAUAAUACUAAAUAUACGUAUACUCCAGGAUGCCCAAUUUUUUACUGCUUACAAGAUAUUAUGCGAGUCUGUAGUGAAUCCAGUACUCAUUUUGCUACACUUACAGCAAGGAUGUUAAUAGCCUUGGAUAAGUGGUUAGAUGAACGUCAUGCACAAUCUCACUUUAUUCCAGCUUUAUUCCGACCUUCUCCUCUUGAGCGGAUAAAAACUAAUGUUAUAAACCCUGCAUAUGCUACUGAAUCAGGUCAGACAGAAAACUCACUACAUAUGGGCUACAGUGCACUAGAAAUAAAGAGUAGAAUGUUAGCCCUAGAGAAAGCAGAUACUUGUAUUUACAACCCUUUGUUUGGAUCAGACCUUCAAUAUACAAACCGGGUAGAUAAAGUGGUAAUAAAUCCAUACUUUGGUCUAGGAGCUCCAGACUACUCAAAAAUCCAAAUUCCCAAACAGGAAAAAUGGCAGAGAAGCAUGAGCAGUGUCACAGAAGACAAGGAACGACAGUGGGUAGAUGACUUUCCUCUCCAUCGAAGUGCCUGUGAAGGAGAUUCAGAAUUACUAAACCGUCUUCUCAAUGAAAGAUUUUCUGUCAAUCAAUUAGAUAGUGACCACUGGGCGCCCAUUCAUUAUGCAUGCUGGUAUGGAAAAGUUGAGGCCACUCGCAUUUUGUUAGAAAAAGGAAAGUGCAAUCCAAAUCUUUUAAAUGGACAGCUUAGUUCUCCUCUUCAUUUUGCUGCUGGAGGAGGACAUGCUGAAAUAGUACAGAUUCUUCUAAACCAUCCAGAAGUUGACAGACACAUAACAGACCAACAAGGAAGAUCCCCUUUAAAUAUCUGUGAAGAAAACAAACAAAAUAACUGGGAAGAAGCUGCAAAGCUAUUGAAGGAAGCCAUUAACAAACCAUACGAAAAAGUUCGAAUAUACAGAAUGGAUGGAUCAUACCGUUCUGUUGAACUGAAGCAUGGAAAUAAUACCACAGUGCAGCAGAUUAUGGAAGGAAUGCGUCUCUCUCAAGAAACACAGCAGUAUUUCACUAUUUGGAUCUGUUCAGAAAACCUCAGCCUUCAACUCAAGCCUUAUCAUAAACCCUUGCAACAUGUUCGUGAUUGGCCAGAAAUACUUUCUGAAUUGACUAAUUUGGAUCCCCAAAGGGAAACACCACAGCUUUUCCUAAGAAGAGAUGUGAGACUUCCUUUGGAAGUUGAAAAAAAGAUUGAAGACCCGCUAGCUAUUCUUAUUCUCUUUGAUGAAGCCAGAUAUAAUUUAUUGAAGGGCUUUUAUACAGCUCCUGAUGCUAAACUGAUAACAUUGGCAAGUCUACUGUUGCAAAUAGUUUAUGGAAAUUAUGAGAGUAAGAAACACAAGCAAGGUUUCCUAAAUGAAGAAAAUUUAAAAUCCAUUGUACCUGUUACCAAACUCAAAAGUAAAGCACCUCACUGGACAAACCGAAUACUUCAUGAAUACAAGAAUCUUAGUACAAGUGAGGGUGUCAGUAAAGAAAUGCAUCACCUUCAGCGCAUGUUCUUACAGAAUUGUUGGGAAAUUCCUACAUAUGGAGCAGCUUUUUUCACAGGACAGAUAUUUACAAAGGCAAGCCCCAGCAAUCAUAAAGUCAUCCCUGUGUAUGUAGGAGUGAAUAUAAAAGGACUUCAUCUCCUCAACAUGGAAACUAAGGCUUUACUCAUCAGUCUUAAGUAUGGUUGUUUUAUGUGGCAGUUGGGAGAUGCUGAUACAUGUUUUCAGAUCCAUAGUAUGGAAAAUAAAAUGAGCUUUAUAGUACACACAAAACAGGAAAACCUUUGAUAACUUAUGAAAUUAAGAUAUUUAAGACCAAGAGAAAAAAACGUAGGCCUUGCCUAAGCAAAUAACCUGAAACUUAUCUGAGCUGGCCUUGUGGUAAAACUAUUAAUGAAGCUAAAUGGACAGUUAAUGCCGACUGAAAGAAAUUCAUGAGUGGAAAGCAGCUGAUACUUAAGCCACCACAUUUUGUAAUGCAGUUUUUUUUUCCAUGAAAGAUUUCUUAAACUAUUACUUGUUUAAGUCUCUUGUAAUAUAUAUGUAUACUAUUACAUUGUACAGAAUCUGUACUUCUGUUUGGUGUGUAAUAUACCAGUUAGUUUUAUAUAAUAUCAUCAUAAGCUAUUCUAACUUUUGAGAGAAACAUGCAGAAAAGUGUAGAUUGAUCAUCUGUAUAUUAAUGGACAAAACAGUAAGCUUUAUAAAAAGUUAUUUUUGGUAAAUGGUAAAGAAUUUGGAGUGGAAUGUAAUGAAAUUAAAAUAGGUUUGGUAUAACUUUGUGUGUCAUUUCAAAAUAUACUGAAAGUCAACAAAGUUGAAUAAAUAUAUUUUCUACUUAAACUACA
Molecule: RNA transcript, 3631 nt
Organism: Mustela erminea (ermine)
Lineage: Eukaryota; Metazoa; Chordata; Mammalia; Carnivora; Mustelidae
Gene: KRIT1
Gene name: KRIT1 ankyrin repeat containing
Exons: 19
Source: RefSeq, a predicted model, not a curated record